RNAcentral lists this ribosomal RNA (497 nucleotides) under uncultured bacterium. RNAcentral's name for it is "partial 16S ribosomal RNA". It matches the Rfam family "Bacterial small subunit ribosomal RNA", at positions 28 to 507 of the family's 1533-position model. The record is from RNAcentral.
GAUGAACGCUGGCGGCGUGCCUAAUACAUGCAAGUCGAGCGAACGGACGAGAAGCUUGCUUUUCUGAUGUUAGCGGCGGACGGGUGAGUAACACGUGGAUAACCUACCUAUAAGACUGGGAUAACUUCGGGAAACCGGAGCUAAUACCGGAUAAUAUUUUGAACCGCAUGGUUCAAAAGUGAAAGACGGUCUUGCUGUCACUUAUAGAUGGAUCCGCGCUGCAUUAGCUAGUUGGUAAGGUAACGGCUUACCAAGGCAACGAUGCAUAGCCGACCUGAGAGGGUGAUCGGCCACACUGGAACUGAGACACGGUCCAGACUCCUACGGGAGGCAGCAGUAGGGAAUCUUGCGCAAUGGGCGAAAGCCUGACGGAGCAACGCCGCGUGAGUGAUGAAGGUCUUCGGAUCGUAAAACUCUUUUAUUAGGGAAGAACAUAUGUGUAAGUAACUGUGCACAUCUUGACGGUACCUAAUCAGAAAGCCACGGCUAACUACGUG